Molecule: ribosomal RNA, 867 nt
Filed under: uncultured bacterium
Lineage: Bacteria
Description: bacterial SSU rRNA
Rfam family: Bacterial small subunit ribosomal RNA
Source: RNAcentral
UGGCGGCGUGGAUAAGACAUGCAAGUCGAACGGGAUAUUACGAGUAGCAAUAUGAGUGAUGUUCAGUGGCGAACGGGUGCGUAACACGUGGAUACAUUCCGGGAAGCGGGGGAUAGCCCAGGGAAACUUGGAUUAAUACCGCAUGUGGUCGAAAGACUAAAGACGGGGACCGCAAGGCCUGUCACUUCCCGAUUGGUCCGCGGCCUAUCAGCUAGUUGGCGGGGUAAAAGCCCACCAAGGCUACGACGGGUAGCUGGUCUUAGAGGACGACCAGCCACACUGGAACUGAGACACGGUCCAGACACCUACGGGUGGCAGCAGUCGAGAAUCUUUCACAAUGGGGGCAACCCUGAUGGAGCGACGCCGCGUGGAGGAUAAGGUCUUCGGAUUGUAAACUCCUGUCAUGCGCGAACAAGGUUGCAUGGGUAAUAACUGUGCAAGUUAAUGGUAGCGCAAGAGGAAGAGACGGCUAACUCUGUGCCAGCAGCCGCGGUAAUACAGAGGUCUCAAGCGUUGUUCGGAAUCACUGGGCGUAAAGGGUGCGUAGGUGGCAUGGUAAGUCAGAUGUGGAAGCCCAGGGCUCAACCUUGGAAUUGCAUCCGAUACUGCUGUGCUAGAGUACUGGAGGGGUGACUAGAAUUCUCGGUGUAGCAGUGAAAUGCGUAGAUAUCGAGAGGAAUACCAAAGGCGUAGGCAGGUCACUGGACAGUUACUGACACUGAGGCACGAAGGCCAGGGGAGCAAACGGGAUUAGAUACCCCGGUAGUCCUGGCAGUAAACGGUGCAUACUUGGUGUGGGAAGAUUCGACCCUUCCUGUGCCGGAGCUAACGCGUUAAGUAUGCCGCCUGGGAAGUACGGUCGCAAGA